GCUGGGCGCGGUGGCACAUGCCUGUAGUCUCAGCUACUCGGGAGGCUGAGGUGGGAGGAUCGCUUGAGCCCAGGAGUUCUGGGCUGUAGUGCACUAUGCCGAUCGGGUUCUAAGUUCGGCAUCAAUAUGGUGACCUACCGGGAGCGGGGACCACCAGGUUGCCUAAGGAAGGAUGAAUCGGCCCAGGUCAGAAACGGAGCAGGUCAAAACUCCCGUGCUGAUCAAUAGUGGGAUGGUGCCAGUGAAUAGCCACUGCACUUCAGCCUGAGCAACAUAGGGAGACCCUAUGUCUC
RNAcentral lists this signal recognition particle RNA (293 nucleotides) under Callithrix jacchus (white-tufted-ear marmoset). RNAcentral's name for it is "Metazoan signal recognition particle RNA (ENSCJAG00000052839.2)". It matches the Rfam family "Metazoan signal recognition particle RNA". From Rfam's summary of the family: The signal recognition particle (SRP) is a universally conserved ribonucleoprotein. It is involved in the co-translational targeting of proteins to membranes. The record is from Rfam by way of RNAcentral. Lineage: Eukaryota; Metazoa; Chordata; Mammalia; Primates; Cebidae.